RNAcentral lists this ribosomal RNA (165 nucleotides) under Jatropha curcas. RNAcentral's name for it is "5.8S ribosomal RNA". It matches the Rfam family "5.8S ribosomal RNA". From Rfam's summary of the family: 5.8S ribosomal RNA (5.8S rRNA) is a component of the large subunit of the eukaryotic ribosome. It is transcribed by RNA polymerase I as part of the 45S precursor that also contains 18S and 28S rRNA. Functionally, it is thought that 5.8S rRNA may be involved in ribosome translocation. Lineage: Eukaryota; Viridiplantae; Streptophyta; Magnoliopsida; Malpighiales; Euphorbiaceae. The record is from RNAcentral.
AAAACGACUCUCGGCAACGGAUAUCUCGGCUCUCGCAUCGAUGAAGAACGCAGCGAAAUGCGAUACUUGGUGUGAAUUGCAGAAUCCCGCGAACCAUCGAGUCUUUGAACGCAAGUUGCGCCCGAAGCCUUUCGGCCGAGGGCACGUACUGCCUGGGUGUCACGC